RNAcentral lists this transfer RNA (73 nucleotides) under hydrothermal vent metagenome. RNAcentral's name for it is "tRNA-Val-TAC". It matches the Rfam family "tRNA". Rfam says of the family: Transfer RNA (tRNA) molecules are approximately 80 nucleotides in length. The record is from RNAcentral.
GGGCGAUUAGCUCAGUUGGGAGAGCAUCGCCCUUACAAGGCGAGGGUCACUGGUUCAAGUCCAGUAUCGCCCA